UGCAUACACCGUUAUGUAAAUUAUUACCGAGUUAAGGGUAAUUUCUCCGUAUCCCCACAUGCGCUCGCCGCUGCGCCGCCAUCGUGACAUCGUUCAACUUGAAGUUUGCAAUAUGGAAUCAUGCAGCAACUUCUGAGCGAUUGGGGAUUCGCACAUUUGGUGUCCGCAUUUGAAGAUCCGACUUUGCAAUUCUGCAACCUGAUGCUGCCAACAACCUCUACAGUAAAUGGCCUACACUGUCAGAACAUCUGCUUACAUACUGUCCAAAGACGUGUCCAUCAUGGGAGUCAUUGGUGUUAGAGCAGGAUAUUGAGCUGAAGAAUCUCACAUCAGAGCAAAGGAAGAAUUUGGCUGUGCUUGUUCUGCCGAUCCCUUUUACAGGAAAACUCAAGCUUGGAGCAGUACCUAAAAGAUACACAGUCUCAGUCCUACAUCCUUGCUUUGGGAGGGUCAUCUGUUUCACCUCAGCAAUGAGUGUUAUCAUCAAGAGGCCCUGGAUGUGUGUUUUAAAUCGUACUUCGCAUGUGACCUGAAAUAUCAAGACAAGUGCUGCGUGGCAUGGGAAUUCCUAGAGGCUGUGGUUUAUGGGAUCAAAGGCAAUGUGAAGAGCAGGGCCAUCAGGGACUUCAGAGUCUUCUGCUCCUGCAAAGAGUGGAAGAGAAAAAUCAGAUGUGAACAAAUCACUGGAAAGCGUGCUAGGUGAUCUUGCACCCGUGGCAAAGGAUGGAAUCCUUUCCCCAGAAGAGGGGGAAUCUCCAGUUGCAUCAAUAUCAGUGGAUGACGGCCUAAUUGAGGAUGUGAUGUUUGAUAUGAUGGAGAAUACCAUCAGCCUUGGUGAGGUCAUCUUGAAAGAGCCCUACCUUCCAGAAGAAACAAACCAGGAUUUAGAGGACAGAGAGUGAACAAGGUGGACUCCAUCUGGGAGAAACAGAAACUUGGUUUGGAGCAGGAGAGGCUCAAAGUUGAUAAGGAGCAGCUGAAAGUUUCUUAGCAGAUUUCAGUUUCACUAAGUGAACUAAGCCACAAUGUUCAGUUGUUGGUCAGUGACAUAUUAGAGAAAGAAACUUAAGAAGCAGUCAUGUAAUAAAAGCAAAUUAUAACAACAAAUUAUAUUGGUAUAAUAAGAACAAGUUAUUACAUUGAAAAACAGGCUUUGAGAUGCAUGAUGGGGGCAAACAAAUGGACCCUUUUCAACAGUUAUUCCUUGUUAUGCUCAGCACUAAGGUACAUGUCAAGAACUGCAUGAGCAUGCCCAUACUUCAAAACGAAAAAGAGCCAUUUUGUCUGCCACUACCAUGUAUCCAAAGUCUCUCAUUGUAUGUUACUGCACAUGGAAAUUGUAAGUUUGACAUAACCUUAAAUGGAGCUUAUUUCUCUUGAGUGCAAAAACUCAUUGAUAAUUAAGCAUCUCUACUGCCUGUAACACAGUCUGAAUAUCAACCCUGGAUUUACACAAAAAUUUGCAAACAUUGAACAAACAAAACAGUUGUGGUUGGUGUUCUUUUCCUUUCCAUUUAAUUACUGCUUCAAUAGAAU
This 1536-nucleotide long non-coding RNA is filed under the name Acanthaster planci (crown-of-thorns starfish). RNAcentral describes it as "uncharacterized LOC110985176, transcript variant X4". Lineage: Eukaryota; Metazoa; Echinodermata; Asteroidea; Valvatida; Acanthasteridae. The record is from RNAcentral.